Molecule: ribosomal RNA, 315 nt
Filed under: uncultured bacterium
Lineage: Bacteria
Description: bacterial SSU rRNA
Rfam family: Bacterial small subunit ribosomal RNA
Source: RNAcentral
AACGAACGCUGGCGGCGUGGAUAAGACAUGCAAGUCGAGCGGGAACUUUCGCUGUAGCAAUACAGUGAAAGUUCUAGCGGCGAACGGGUGCGUAACACGUGGACAAUCUGCCUUAAAGUGGGGGAUAGCUCGGCGAAAGCCGAAUUAAUACCGCAUGUGAUGAGAGACGACAUCGUCUUGAAAUACAAAGCCGGGGCAACCUGGCGUCUUUUGAGGAGUCCGCGGCCUAUCAGCUAGUUGGUGAGGUAACGGCCCACCAAGGCUAUGACGGGUAGCUGGUCUGAGAGGACGACCAGUCACACUGGAACUGAGACA